UACGAAGGUGGCAAGCGUUACUCGGAAUUACUAGGCGUAAAGGGCAGGUAGGUGGUUUGGUAAGUCUAUUGUGAAAGCUCCCGGCUUAACUGGGAGAGGUCAAUGGAUACUGCCGGACUUGAGUAUAGGAGAGGUUACUGGAAUUCCCGGUGUAGCGGUGAAAUGCGCAGAGAUCGGGAGGAACACCAAUGGCGAAAGCAGGUAACUGGACUAUUACUGACACUCAGCUGCGAAAGCUAGGGGAGCAAACAGG
RNAcentral lists this ribosomal RNA (253 nucleotides) under uncultured bacterium. RNAcentral describes it as "partial 16S ribosomal RNA". It matches the Rfam family "Bacterial small subunit ribosomal RNA", at positions 524 to 776 of the family's 1533-position model. The record is from RNAcentral.